RNAcentral lists this long non-coding RNA (210 nucleotides) under Pogona vitticeps (central bearded dragon). RNAcentral's name for it is "lncRNA (ENSPVIG00000001475.1)". The record is from RNAcentral. Lineage: Eukaryota; Metazoa; Chordata; Lepidosauria; Squamata; Agamidae.
GCUAUUUGGCAGUUCUCCUGUUAUGUAAAGUUGAAGAAAGUGAAUCUUCCGUUUCAUUUUAUUACAGUUUGCUGCAAGCCAGACGGGAACGGAGAGGAACGCUUUCUGCUUGCCAAUGAGUAAUGCUGUGUUCAAAAUAAACAACCGGAGAGGGGAUUGUUGGGUGGAGAACUGCCUCCCAGUUUAGAAGAUCUUGCAGCACAUGAUGGG